RNAcentral lists this small nucleolar RNA (213 nucleotides) under Myotis brandtii (Brandt's bat). RNAcentral's name for it is "Small nucleolar RNA SNORA23". The stretch from base 91 to 213 matches the Rfam family "Small nucleolar RNA SNORA23". From Rfam's summary of the family: The members of this family belong to the H/ACA class of snoRNAs which are thought to guide the sites of modification of uridines to pseudouridines. Lineage: Eukaryota; Metazoa; Chordata; Mammalia; Chiroptera; Vespertilionidae. The record is from Rfam by way of RNAcentral.
AUGAUAAUAUGGGCAUCAUUAAUAAAUAUGUAAGACUUUUGAAAAGGUUAUGAUUGAAAUUACAUGAAGAAAAAUGGUGACUAGGUCAGAGAAGAGGAUUAAGAAUAAGCCAUGCCAUGCAGCCAAAGAGUAAGUUGGGAUCAUAGUACCGGUCUAGUGUUGUCUCAUUGGACAUAAUUUACCACUGGCCAGCCUCCAAAUUCCCAUACAGAA